This is a non-coding RNA of Rattus norvegicus (Norway rat), 2202 nucleotides long. The record is from RefSeq and is a predicted model, not a curated record. NCBI's taxonomy places the organism in Eukaryota, Metazoa, Chordata, Mammalia, Rodentia, Muridae.
GGGGGAGGCAAGAAACGUCCUAAUGAAAUGCAGGAUUCUGCAAGGUCGCCCUCUGGGAGCCUAAGGGCAAGCGGAUCUCAGGAUCUGGCCAGCCUGAGAAAAGACAGCCAUGAGGACUCUGCACGGUUGCCUCGCCAGUAUGACGUCACAGACGUCCGCGUCGCUGACAGGCCACCUGCAGACUGGUCUCGGCUUUAAAGGAGCUGUGCCCCUGUCCCCUCGAAGUCCGGCGGGUGGCUACUGUCCACGUCUGAGAGUGUGCUGGGACUCCAGAUCUUCCUAUCUCCUCUCGGCGUGAAGGUAGCGGUGGACAGGUCAUACUACCGGAGACAGGCAGGUACCCACGGAGGAUUCCACCACAGAGCAUCCUCCACACCUACCCAGCCCCCGCGCCCACGCUCUCGCUCUGGGGCAAGGGAUUUCUUCCAGAAGGAAGCAGAACAGAGGCUUUCCUCCUCGGCUGUCUCAAGUCUUAGUAGGUAAAAAUCUGUUAGUGCCCCCCCCCGCCCCCAUCCCUUCCUCUUGUCAAGGGCUCAUCUUGGAAGGGCUGCCAACACCAAGUCCCAACUGGAUUCACGAGGUCAAGUCCCUCGAGGGAAGGGAAAGGAGCUGCUCAGCCACAGGUGCGAUGUCUCCCUUUCUCCAAACUGGGGUGGGAAGGGAUGCGGGGGGGGGGGGUAGCUGGGAAAGCCGCCCUGAAACUGGCACUGAGCUCUCUUGCCAACUGGAGUAAUAGGGUUGCAUGCGACCAAAGCCCCGCGCUGCCGCCGGGUCUCCAGUGCCUUUCGCCCAGACUUUAGGUUUAACCGACCUGUUGCCUGCGGGAAAAGCGUCCCACAAGAUGUGAGCGCCGGGAGUCCGCGCUGAAAUCAGCCGCGAUCCUGCUGCCCUGGUGCACUGGGGAAGUUGCACUUUGAGUCUUGGCAGCUGCCAAGGACAGACGGAGACAACGGCCCUCACACAGGAGCGGAGCAGACGGAUCACUUCCUAGGAAGGGUAUGGGCAGGGAAAGGUGGGGACAGGGGAGCCCGCUGUCCUCCUCAUCUUGGACACACAUUCCGACGACAGCUUGCAGGAGCCUGAACUGCAGGCUUUUAUAAUUUGUGAAGAAGAUAUAGAGAAACGAGCUACCCAGCUGCUUCCCGUGAGAAAUAAGAUGUCCCUAUGGUUAAAGGAAGUGUGUUCGGGAAGGGCAAACACCUCCAGAAACUACCAGACUCGGCCGAGGAUACCUCAGAGGAACUUCUCCAGAAACAAGGACAUUGGCUCUAGCGUGGGACGGGGGACAGGAUGCCUGUCCUCAGGGAGUGGUGGGCUGCUUUGCACCUGCAGACCCUCAUUCAUCCUGCAAGCCCCUCCUUUCUGAGAGACCACCACACGAGACACACAGAGGGCAGAUGACAGUGUGGACCAGCACAGGAGCAUGGACUUCUAACCUUAGGGUUCAGGAGCAAGGGGGCCACGGGAUCCUGGCUGACCUGGAGUGUCUGUGCCUGCGUGUGGGAAGGAAGGUUAUAGUUACAACUUCCCACUUUCAAGAAACAGAAUUUCAGAAGCCUUGCCCCCAGCCUGUGCUUGGAGGUCACCUUGAUGGCAAAAGUAGUCAAUGCCCCACAAAUGUGCUUUAAGUCCAGCACCUGGAAAAGCAGAGGCAGGUGGGUUUUUGUUAAAUUCAAGGCCAGUCUGGUCUCCAUAGUAAACCUUUGUCUCAAAAUGGGAGAAAGAAAGAAAGAGAUAGAACGAACACACACACACACACACACACUGCCCCAUCCUUUUUCUGGGUGUCAUGUAGCCCAGUCUGGCCUUAAAUUCCCUAUGUGCUGAGUGUGAUCUUGAACUCCUGAACCUCCUGCUUCCAUCCCGAGUGCUGGAACUACGGGCAUGUGCACAACCAUAGCUGGGAAACAAACCCGAGGCUUCACACAAGAGAAGCAAGCACUGCACUGAACCCUUCUGCUCCUUUGCUUCCUCUUUUACUCCCUUCUUCUCACACUCUCUGCCUCCCCUCCCUCCCCCUUUCUCUCUCCCUCCCUCCUUCCUAACUUUUUUUCAUUCUUGUACUAGAGAUAGAGCCUAGGGUCUCACACACGCUAAGCCUGCGCGGUUCCCACCUUGCCCGGUCGGGGUCACCUUGCCAUAAGGUGAGCACCAAGUCCUAACGUUGACACCCUUGGUAGAAAUAAAUUUCUGAGCAAUAAA